GCGGACGUGGCGGAACGGCAGACGCGCCAGACUUAGGAUCUGGUGCCGCAAGGCGUAAGGGUUCAACUCCCUUCGUCCGCA
Molecule: transfer RNA, 81 nt
Filed under: Synechococcus sp.
Lineage: Bacteria; Bacillati; Cyanobacteriota; Cyanophyceae; Synechococcales; Synechococcaceae
Description: tRNA-Leu
Rfam family: tRNA
About the family: Transfer RNA (tRNA) molecules are approximately 80 nucleotides in length. Their secondary structure includes four short double-helical elements and three loops (D, anti-codon, and T loops). Further hydrogen bonds mediate the characteristic L-shaped molecular structure. tRNAs have two regions of fundamental functional importance: the anti-codon, which is responsible for specific mRNA codon recognition, and the 3' end, to which the tRNAs corresponding amino acid is attached (by aminoacyl-tRNA synthetases). tRNAs cope with the degeneracy of the genetic code in two manners: having more than one tRNA (with a specific anti-codon) for a particular amino acid; and 'wobble' base-pairing, i.e. permitting non-standard base-pairing at the 3rd anti-codon position.
Source: RNAcentral